Molecule: long non-coding RNA, 3496 nt
Organism: Passer domesticus (house sparrow)
Lineage: Eukaryota; Metazoa; Chordata; Aves; Passeriformes; Passeridae
Exons: 3
Source: RefSeq, a predicted model, not a curated record
AACUGAGUUUAGAAACUCUGCUCAGCUGCACUGCAGCCACCUGAUUUCUAGCUGCCACUCCCCCACUGCUAAAUGAGAUCCUAGCACUGCUGUAGGUGGGAUAAAAACAAAGUCACUUGCUCUCAGACUUGCUGCAAAAUUCUUUGUACAAAUACUAAUUUCUUGCUGAAUCCUUAAGCAAAUACAAAUUUAACACUUAGGUAAGCUGGCUGCAGGACUCCUGCCCAUCUGGCUUCACAGUGGCCCAGAUGAAAAGAAGAAAUGAAAAUCUUUUUACACAGAGGUGUGGAAAAAAUUGCCUUAUCAUGAUGCGCAUAAAACGAAACACUGGCAUGGGUGUAAGGGUUGCUGAAAAGAAAGGAAAAGAAAGGAAAAGAAAGGAAAAGAAAGGAAAAGAAAGGAAAAGAAAAGAAGGGAAGAGGAAAGAGCAGAGAAUUGAUCUUAUUCAUGAAUGGAAGAGGAGUCAUUCCAAGGAAACCACAGCAGAGAAGAAACUUUGGUGGUGACAAUGGAUGUUGUGGACAGUAGCUGGCAAGAAAUUAUCCUGGCUCUAGAACUGAAUUCUCCUUGGUGCAAAAUAUCCCAGUCUUUGUCAUUGAACUUAAAGCUAAUAUCCUAUUAAAAAUCAGGAUGCAGGUGCUGCUGCAUUCUGGGCUCCCACUGCUUCUGGAAUGGCCUACUUAUUUAAAUGACUGGACUUUGUGCACACACAAUAGACUGCUUCCUGGGAGUUGAGAGCUUUGUGAAAUUACAUUACAAAAUCAACAAUGACUGUGGCAGACCUUGAAUUUCUUGUAUGGUGGAACAAACAGAAUAGCACAAUAUUGUCUUUCAGGUGCACAUUUCAGAGAGAUUGACUAAGUGGGUGAACUUCUACAUUUAAGUCAAAAGAAGUAAGCCCUGGAAGAAAGUUAAAUCAUAGAAUCACAGAAAUCUUGAGUUGGAAGAAAUCCAUAAGGAUCAUUGAGUUCAGCUCCUUAUUCCUCAUGGGACUACCUAAAACUAAAUCAUGUAGGUAUGAGUGUCAUCCAGGUGUUCCUUGAACUCUGGUAGCUUGGUGCCAGGUCACUGCUUUAGCUCUGGUCUGCCUGCUGUUAUAAUUAAAGUUUAUUGUGUAAAUAACAGUUUAGUCCUAAUAUAAAAGAUGUCACUGCAGUGGACAAAGGAGUGUUUGCACUAGCUCACAUCCAAGCACAAGUGACUCAGGAUGAUUGGUUUGAUGUGGGUCAAGUGCUGCUGUGGAUAGGAAGCCUCAUCACUCUCUCUUUCUCUCUCAGGGUGCAGACCUGUUGUGCCCAGGAGGUGUUUGUUUCUCCAUAGCUUCUGUAGCAGAAUUUUCAGGAGCACUUCUGCACUGGCUGUCCCCUAUGACCACACCAGCCAGGUGGAGAGGAAUUUCUGAUCUUUUCUGGGCAAUAUAAUAAUGUUCCUGGACUGGUGGUCUGUGUCCCUCUCAGCAUGGUGUGGGAGAUGAAGGUCUGGUACACCUUGUGCCAGACAUAUCUUUGCCCUGCUGCAUUCCCAUAGCAAUGGCUUUAGCACCUGUGUGCAAGUCCCUGUGCCAUUCCUGGGCUGUGGCUCGUGUCCAGAGGUUUCCAUGUCCUCGCUAUGAUUCUGUGCUGAAGGCAGAGGAGGAAUUGCAUGUGCAUAAGCUGCUACAUGCCAAAAGUUAAUUGCCAAAUAAAAAGACACUGGCAGCAUGGGAAAUAGGGUGCACAAAUCUGUGGUUUACCCAAGGCACACAUGCGUGUGGCAAUCUGGACACAUUCCUGGUGGUCUGUGGCCAUUCCUUCAAAAAACUCAUGGCUACUGAACAAGGAAAUGUUGGCCAUCAGAACAGCUGAAGGUAGCCUGAAUCUCUCCAGAGCAGUGGGCAGAACAGCAGUGCUUCCUGAAUCUCUUCAAGCACAUGAGGAAGGAGGAGGUUAGGAUGAGAUUGAGGAUAAUUGUGCUUUUUAAUCUGGCACCCCUUUCACCGUCUCUUAUAUCAGCUGCCCUCUUUUCCACCCCAUUAACUGUAUGAGCAUACCCUUUUAUCAGCUUAAAGGCCUUAAAAUGCAGUAUUUCGUAUGUGGAUUAAGGACAAUAUGCAGCAUUAAGUAACCCAUGCUGAUGAAUUCCUCUUUGGGGUCAAGCUGUAGAGGAAUGCUGCGAGGUUGCAUGGCUUUUCUGUAUUGCUUACCAAAGUAACAGAUAAAUAGAUGCAAUCUGUCAAACCCCCAGUCAGAGUACUACAUUUAUGCCUGAAUACAGUAUUUACCCUAGAGUUUAAAUUAGUUUGCUUACAUUCAAUAUCAGAAACCAGAAUGCAUGUACUUGUAGUUUUAUAACCAAAUCCAUGACAAUAUAUUUUGUAUGAAAGGUUAAAUGACUUAAUAACAGCUUUCUCGGAACGUUUUUUCAUUUUGUGGAUGUUGGAAAAGAAGUCCAUUUUCUUUUUCCCCCAAGAUAGUGAAAAAGUACAUAAUUAUGUUCUCAGUUUAGCUAUGUAAAUGACCCUACUGAUAAAUGAAAAUUGAUAUUUCAAAGCCAUGGUUUAUAUAGCCUGAUGGCAUGUUAGCCCUUAUCACUGAAGACAGUACUUAACUCUGAAUAAUGCAUCAUGCUAACUCUCUGAAAUUGUUAUUAUGAGAUUUUAAUGCACCAUAAAACAUGUCUUAUGAUCUUCAGAAUGCUUAUGUGUCAGUCUUACACAUUAAUCUCACAUACGUCUUGAAAAACUGUAGUUUGGCAAAAACUGUCUUCACAUAUAGCACUUCUUGUAAAAUAUUUCAUACAUGGAUUUAUGUGUAAGUAUGGGAUUUGCAACAUCUGAGUAAAAGAAUUAUCUUUUCUGCACACAAAACACAGUAAAAUGAGAUCUGAGCCAUAACUGGGAAUUCUAGAUUCUGCGAAAAUAUUCUUAUUAAAUAAACAGUGUUGUUGACAUAGCAGACAUGAUACUGAGGGAGUGUGUGUGAAUAUAUUCUUGGGUUUGCAUUAUGUUUGAAUUAUUCAUGUCAUUCCUUUCUGAUCAGAAAUAUUCAUCUUAGUUUAGAUUAUGCUAUUUUAUUUUAUAUUUCUGAGGAAAAUGCAUUAGCUAAUCUUGAACUGGAGGAUGAUGGGCAAGAACAAGGACAGAGAAAUAAAUUCUUCUUGGUUCUGACUCUUGCAGCGUGGAAUUUAUGCACACUAUGGAAAAAAGUGAUUUGUGAACUGCUGUCUCCAGCCAGGUGGGCCAAGUUUGUACCUAUUCACACUUUUGUCCACUCAGCCACAGAGCUACUGUGGGCCUUAUGAGCACAGCUGCUGAAGGAGGAUAUACAGUCAAUCUGCUUUUCUCAAAACCAGAGCUAAACAAUAAGCAGUGUGCUGAGCCAAAGACGUUUGCUGACCAUCAGAGUCUGCUGGGGCAAAAUGGCAACUCCAUCAUACCACUUUUCUUCUUCUUUUUUUUUUUUUUUUUUUUUUUUUUUUUUUUUUUUUUUUUCUUUUUCUUUUUUUUUCUUUUUUUUUU